UUAAGUCCUUCAUGUACUGUAUUUUAUUAUUUUUCAUUUAAAAAAAAAAAAAAAAAAGACCAAGCAGAGUCCAGGCUCGUGACAGACCAGUCCAAGCCUAGUUCCAGCACUACAUGUCUAGAGAACAUCACAGCAGCCCAAAGAAUCAUGGAAAUAUUAGAAGCACCUUAUUUUGAUGGUUAUGAAGCUUAUCCACAAGAUUUUCUCAAUUGGAUGAAUGGGAUGGAGCAAUUUUUUGAGCAAGCAAAUUUUGCAGAUAACAUAAAGGUUAGGUAUGCCAAGUCAAAGUUAAUAGGUAAAGCACAGAGGUUUUGGGAGAAUCUUGAACGUUUCUGCUAUAUGGAUUAUGAACCUGCCAUUACUGUGUGAGAAGAUAUGAAAGAAAAGCUUUGUGAUGAGUAUUUGUCACCAUACUAUCGAGCUAAGUAUCUACCCCAAUCUUAGUGUGGUACUUUUCAAGUUAAAGCAAAUGCGAUGACUCCUCAUCCUUAUCCCAUAUCAUGUCCUUGGCACACUUUUGAACAAUCUACCAAGAAAUUAUCUACCAGGAAAGUAACGGAAUUAACUAUAAAGCUCAUGAAAGAGAUUCAAGACAGGAUUGCUCAGAUGAAGCAAAUGAAGACUCAACUCGAUUCAAUUGGGAAACCAAGAGUAAUUGAUCAUAAUGAACUUAUUGCUGCCCCCAUAGAAGACAACAUUGAUGGUGAUAUCUUGGUCGUGGAGAAUCCUCCAACAACACCAAAGCCUAAUGUUGACAUAGAUGUACAUGCCUCGACAAGUGUUGUUUUAACAAGCGUGCAAGGAAAUGAAUCUAUUGAAGAACAGCAAGGUGAAAAGAUGGCGCCUAAAGAGAGUAUUAUGUUAAAGGGUGCACAUGGUGUGAAAGUUGAAGUUGUUGAAUGUGCUUCUAAUCAACCUUCCACAGUCCUUGAAGAUCUACAUCUUGGUAAAGUCGAAGAGGUUAAAACCACAGUGCUUCCUAUGGUUCAUAAGGUUCAAGAAGAGAUUAUACUAAUUCCACACAUUGAUUUUGUUAUUCCAAAUGAGUUUGAUGUGGUGGAAUUCAAGGUUUUUGUUUUCCCUGUGCUCCCUAAGGUGAUUUCAGACUUGAAGCAAGUGUUAUUUAUCAGCAUCCUAAUCCUUCAAUGUUUUAAAACUCGAGGUCGAGUUUUCUCCAACCAAAGGAGAAUGAUGCGGGAGAUGCAAGAAAAUUAUUAUUUAGUAUUAUUUAUGUUUGUUAGUCAAUCGUAUUUUUAUGUUUUAGGUCCUAUUAAUUUAUUGGGUUAUUAGUAUUUUAAUUUAGAUGCAAGGGUAUUUUUGUAAUAGGGCAAUUAGGGUUUCCUAACCAAUUAGAACUAGGGUUUAGUAAUCCUUUAUAAGCAACCUAUUGUACUCCUUGAGGGGAUAGUUGAUAUUUUUGAUGAAUGAAAAAAUGGCCGUUUGGUCUUUCUUUGGUUGAUUAAAGUACAGAGUAACAGGAAAUUGUUGUGUCCAAAAUCUAGUUGGGUUGCUAAUUGUUCUUAGAGAUAAUUACAUAUUACCAACUGUGGUAGAGGGUGGUUUUACUUUGCCUAGCCUUGGUUUUAAAAGCAAGACAUUGCUUUCAGUUAAUAACUAAACUAUGGUUGACCAUAAUCUACCUCCUCACACUUCACCAUUUAAUAUGGGUAAAAAUGUCUUUCAAUGUGUUUUUUUUAAAAAGGUUUUUCUUUCUCUUCCUCAUCUAGUGAUCUCUUCUCUCUCCUCUAAUGAGUACUUUGGUGCUAGAAAUCAUCCUAGCAAAGUAUCCUACAAGGUCAAUUUUAAGGUUGGGCAUAAUGUGAAAUUUCAAAAAGGGGUGAUGGUUUUGUGGGUUUUGUAGGACUGGGAUUUUGUCUGCAAGAAUGAAGCUCUACACUGUGUUUGACAGGGUGGUGCAUUUGGUGCAGUUGACAUGCUGUGGAUAGGUGGAUACCUGUGACAACUAUGGAGUUUAUGAUUUAUGAUGUAGAUAGCCUUUUUUGAGGGGUGGAGGGCUAUAAAGCACAGGUGCGUUUCAGGACUCGGGUACAGGUGCGAGUGCUGGUGUAGGUGCGGGACUCGACGAUUCUUGAAAAAGGCCACAUGAAGCAGAAGAAUGGCAGCCGCUGCCCAUUUCAGCCUGUUUCGGUGGCCGUUUCGGCUGUACCGGUUCCCGUUUCCAUUGGAAUCGGCCCGUUUUGGCCUGAAUUGGUGCGAAUUUGACCGAGUUGGCGCGAAUAAAAAAAAAAAAAAGGGAGAGUUGGCGAGUCAGACGCCGGACGCCGCGUCAGUGCUUUCUAGGUGGAGGGUGCCUGUGGUUGGAUCAAUUUUUUAGCAAAGGGGAGCAUUGGUGAAAAUGUACUUUUAAGGGGAUCUGGACUCUUACUUGGGACAGACCAUAUGGAAGUUUUACACUUUUUUAGGCCCCAAUUUAGGUGGACAAUUUCUCAAAUAUCAUUAUGAAGAUGGGAAUGGUACUUAUCUUUGGCAGGAUAGUUGGCAUCUUGGUCCUCUGUUGCUUAAAUAUGUACCUCGGAUCAGCAAUGACAGUCAGUACUGUGAAUGCAAAGGCCUCAUCAGCUCACAAUGGAGGAAACUAAAGUUGGCACCCAGCAGGGUUUGUGGCUUUAGUUCAUAUUCAGGGCAAGUGUUUUUAGGCAAACCUUGAUCAAAAUGUAGCAGAAAAUGUCAAUUUAGAACUACAAAAUCAGGAGAAUUUGAAUGUGGGGGACAUCAUGGAAUGCUAUUAGACUUACUCCACCAAAAGUUUAGCAAUUCAAGCUUACCAGUUUCUUGGAUUGCUCUUAUAUAUCACACUUGGAUGGAGAAAACUCUCAGUGGCAUGAGAACAACUUAAAGAUGAAAAAUCUACGUUCAAGAUUAUUAUCGUAAAGGAUAGAUGGACUGGCAUCAAGCAGGCAUAUUGUGAAUUCAGCCAAAAACAAAGUAUUGGAGUAUUCAUUUAUCAGCAGAUUAGAAGUCUAUCAGAUAUUUAUUUUCUUUAAUCCACAGGGAAAUGAUCUUUGUAUGAAUGCUCUAUGGUGGGUUUCUCAUCUUACUUCCAUUCAGUAUUUUUACACAAGUGGCAUCAACCUUCAAGGGGAACAAAAAUAUGCUUAAGAAUAGUACACAUUGCGGACUCCUUGCUUGCUCCAGACUGGAAUAGAUUUGCAGGGAUUAGAGAUUUGUACCACGCUCGAUGGGUGAAAUGAAAGCACCAAACCUCCAGUGGCUCUCAGCUAAAAAUUCAACAAAUUUGUUGAAGAUACUCUUCCAAAACUAUGGAAACUUGCUUCACUUUUGGUAUUUGGAUUUUUGCAAUAAUCACAGCAGGACAUUUGCCAAUGUGUUCAAAUGAACUUGUACCGUACUAUUACUUAUUUUUCUCUAGUACUUUCCAUGAGUCUUCUAUUAUUCCAUAUUUGUAAGUAUCAUAAACCCCCCCCCCCCCCUUUUUUUUUUUUUGAUAAGUAUCAUAAACCUUUGAAGUAACUUGUAUGUAUCAAUUCAAUUUCUACCGAGGUCUUACCA
Molecule: long non-coding RNA, 3531 nt
Organism: Quercus robur (English oak)
Lineage: Eukaryota; Viridiplantae; Streptophyta; Magnoliopsida; Fagales; Fagaceae
Exons: 6
Source: RefSeq, a predicted model, not a curated record